CCUACGGGUGGCUGCAGUGGGGAAUAUUCCGCAAUGGGCGAAAGCCUGACGGAGCAAUACCGCGUGAGGGAGGAAGGCUCUUGGGUUGUAAACCUCUUUUCUCAGGGAAGAUAAUGACGGUACCUGAGGAAUCAGCAUCGGCUAACUCCGUGCCAGCAGCCGCGGUAAUACGGAGGAUGCAAGCGUUAUCCGGAAUGAUUGGGCGUAAAGCGUCUGUAGGUGGCAUUUCAAGUCUGCUGUUAAAUAUCGGGGCUCAACUCCGAAGUGGCAGUGGA
Molecule: ribosomal RNA, 275 nt
Filed under: uncultured bacterium
Lineage: Bacteria
Description: partial 16S ribosomal RNA
Rfam family: Bacterial small subunit ribosomal RNA
Source: RNAcentral